CUUAAAUAUUGCCAACUGUUUGAUUUCUUUCCUUUUUUGUUUUGUUUUGGAGCAAUCAGUAAACCCCACAGGAUCCCAUAUUAAAUGGAUAUAACAAGACAAAUGGAAGAGUGAGCGUUUUCCAAUAUGAAAUUAAUUUUAAACAAAUACUUUAGUUUGAUGUUGAUGUAAUUCUAAAUUAAAAACAUAUAUAGGACAAUUAACUCUUCAGCAUUUUCCUAAGGAUAUUUUUCAUCAUAUUUUUUUUCUCAGAUUUCUGGGAAAUAACUUUUUUUCAGUUAGCUUGUUUUCUUGUUUCUACAUGAAGAUUGCAUGAGGAAAGCAGACUUGCCAUGAUAGAUAACAUGGUUAUAGAGACUGUUUUCCUACAUCUUUGUAAAAUUCAAUCUCAACCAUGGUUGACUUUUGUAUAUGCAUAUCUUUGUUUUUAAUGUUAUUGUAAGCCUUAGUGAGCACUAAAUCAAAUUGAAGUCUUUACUAAUGAACUGUCAUUUAUUUAUACUAUGUGGGAGAUUACCAGCCUGUAUAUUUUUGAAUUCCAUUAAAUUUCAUUUCUUGUUUUAUA
This is a long non-coding RNA of Thamnophis elegans (Western terrestrial garter snake), 565 nucleotides long. RefSeq lists it as uncharacterized. The record is from RefSeq and is a predicted model, not a curated record. Lineage: Eukaryota; Metazoa; Chordata; Lepidosauria; Squamata; Natricidae. The transcript is spliced from 2 exons.